This 274-nucleotide ribosomal RNA is filed under the name uncultured bacterium. RNAcentral describes it as "partial 16S ribosomal RNA". It matches the Rfam family "Bacterial small subunit ribosomal RNA", at positions 523 to 796 of the family's 1533-position model. The record is from RNAcentral.
AUACGGAGGGUGCAAGCGUUACUCGGAAUCACUGGGCGUAAAGCGCGCGCAGGCGGCUAUUUAAGUUGGAUGUGAAAGCCUACGGCUCAACCGUAGAACUGCAUCCAAAACUAUUUAGCUAGAGUGUGGGAGAGGAAGAUGGAAUUAGUUGUGUAGGGGUAAAAUCCGUAGAGAUAACUAGGAAUACCAAAAGCGAAGGCAAUCUUCUGGAACACUACUGACGCUGAGGCGCGAAAGCGUGGGGAGCAAACGGGAUUAGAAAACCUAGUAGUCC